Molecule: ribosomal RNA, 668 nt
Filed under: uncultured archaeon
Lineage: Archaea
Description: bacterial SSU rRNA
Rfam family: Archaeal small subunit ribosomal RNA
Source: RNAcentral
CAAAACCUAUAUGGCCCCUGGAUUGGACUGCGGCCGAUCAGGCUGUUGGUGAGGUAAUGGCCCACCAAACCUGUAACCGGUACGGGCUCUGAGAGGAGGAGCCCGGAGAUGGGCACUGAGACAAGGGCCCAGGCCCUAUGGGGCGCAGCAGGCGCGAAACCUCUGCAAUAGGCGAAAGCCUGACAGGGUUACUCUGAGUGAUCUCCGUUAAGGAGAUCUUUUGGCACCUCUAAAAAUGGUGCAGAAUAAGGGGUGGGCAAGUCUGGUGUCAGCCGCCGCGGUAAUACCAGCACCCCGAGUGGUCGGGACGUUUAUUGGGCCUAAAGCAUCCGUAGCCGGUUCUACAAGUCUUCCGUUAAAUCCACCUGCUCAACAGAUGGGCUGCGGAAGAUACUAUAGAGCUAGGAGGCGGGAGAGGCAAGCGGUACUCGAUGGGUAGGGGUAAAAUCCGUUGAUCCAUUGAAGACCACCAGUGGCGAAGGCGGCUUGCCAGAACGCGCUCGACGGUGAGGGAUGAAAGCUGGGGGAGCAAACCGGAUUAGAUACCCGGGUAGUCCCAGCUGUAAACGAUGCAGACUCGGUGAUGAGUUGGCUUCAUGCCAACUCAGUGCCGCAGGGAAGCCGUUAAGUUUGCCGCCUGGGGAGUACGGUCGCAAGACUGAAACUUA